GAGGGUAUAGUUCAGUGGUAGAAUGCCUGCUUAUCGUGCAAAAGGUCCUGGGUUCAAUCCCCAGUACUUCCG
Molecule: non-coding RNA, 72 nt
Organism: Vicugna pacos (alpaca)
Lineage: Eukaryota; Metazoa; Chordata; Mammalia; Artiodactyla; Camelidae
Source: the annotation of a RefSeq genome assembly